Molecule: ribosomal RNA, 500 nt
Filed under: uncultured bacterium
Lineage: Bacteria
Description: partial 16S ribosomal RNA
Rfam family: Bacterial small subunit ribosomal RNA
Source: RNAcentral
AUUGAACGCUGGCGGCAUGCUCUACACAUGCAAGUCGAACGGUAACAGGGUGCUUGCACCGCUGACGAGUGGCGAACGGGUGAGUAAUGCGUCGGAACGUGCCGAGUAGUGGGGGAUAACGCAGCGAAAGUUGUGCUAAUACCGCAUACGUACUGAGGUAGAAAGUGGGGGACCUUCGGGCCUCACGCUAUUCGAGCGGCCGACGUCUGAUUAGCUAGUAGGUGAGGUAAAGGCUCACCUAGGCGACGAUCAGUAGCGGGUCUGAGAGGAUGGUCCGCCACACUGGGGCUGAGACACGGCCCAGACUCAUUCGGGAGUCAGCAGUGGGGAAUUUUGGACAAUGGGCGAAAGCCGGAUCCAGCCAUGCCGCGUGUCUGAAGAAGGCCUUCGGGUUGUAAAGGACUUUUGUCAGGGAGGAAAUCCCUAGUGCUAAUAACACUGGGGGAUGACAGUACCUGAAGAAUAAGCACCGGCUAACUACGUGCCAGCCGCCGCAGUAA